UACGGAGGGUGCGAGCGUUGUUCGGAUUCACUGGGCGUAAAGGGUGCGUAGGCGGUCGGGUAAGUCUGGCGUGAAAUCUCCAAGCCUAACUUGGAAACUGCGUUGGAUACUAUCCGGCUCGAGGAAUGGAGGGGAGACUGGAAUACUUGGUGUAGCAGUGAAAUGCGUAGAUAUCAAGUGGAACACCAGUGGCGAAGGCGAGUCUCUGGACAUUUCCUGACGCUGAGGCACGAAAGCCAGGGGAGCAAACGGG
RNAcentral lists this ribosomal RNA (253 nucleotides) under uncultured bacterium. Its description in RNAcentral is "partial 16S ribosomal RNA". It matches the Rfam family "Bacterial small subunit ribosomal RNA", at positions 524 to 776 of the family's 1533-position model. The record is from RNAcentral.